UGGGCGGUAGUGUAGUGGUUUCUGCACGCCAGUCCGAUAAGCUGGAAGCCUGAGUUCAAUCCUCAGCCGCCCAACCA
This 77-nucleotide transfer RNA is filed under the name marine sediment metagenome. RNAcentral's name for it is "tRNA-Ile". It matches the Rfam family "tRNA". Rfam says of the family: Transfer RNA (tRNA) molecules are approximately 80 nucleotides in length. Their secondary structure includes four short double-helical elements and three loops (D, anti-codon, and T loops). The record is from RNAcentral.